RNAcentral lists this long non-coding RNA (234 nucleotides) under Homo sapiens (human). RNAcentral's name for it is "LNC_000028". The record is from RNAcentral. Lineage: Eukaryota; Metazoa; Chordata; Mammalia; Primates; Hominidae.
GUGGGUUUGUGCCAGCCGAAGUUGCGUCAGGGCUACCAGGUCGGUGGAGGAUUGGGGGUGUUGCGAAAUUGGCAGAAACCUCUUUGCUCCUCUGGUAGGCAUUUGAAAACGUGGCUUGGGUCAGGCACAGUCGGCACCCCCACCUCCCGGUUCCCAGGUGUGGUUUGAUUUUCCUUGGCACUGACGGAAAUGUCACCCGUUUCCCCCUUCCACCGGCAUAUGCAUGGACCCCAC